CCUACGGGUGGCUGCAGUGGGGAAUAUUGGACAAUGGGGGCAACCCUGAUCCAGCCAUGCCGCGUGUGUGAAGAAGGCCCUCGGGUUGUAAAGCACUUUCAGUGAGGAAGAACGCCUGGUGGUUAAUACCCAUCAGGAAAGACAUCACUCACAGAAGAAGCACCGGCUAACUCCGUGCCAGCAGCCGCGGUAAUACGGAGGGUGCGAGCGUUAAUCGGAAUUACUGGGCGUAAAGCGCGCGUAGGUGGCUUGAUAAGCCGGUUGUGAAAGCCCCGGGCUCAACCUGGGAACGGCAUCCGGAACUGUCAAGCUAGAGUGAAGGAGAGGAAGGUAGAAUUCCCGGUGUAGCGGUGAAAUGCGUAGAGAUCGGGAGGAAUACCAGUGGCGAAGGCGGCCUUCUGGACUGACACUGACACUGAGGUGCGAAAGCGUGGGUAGCAAACAGGAUUAGAUACCCUAGUAGUC
RNAcentral lists this ribosomal RNA (465 nucleotides) under Vreelandella stevensii. RNAcentral's name for it is "partial 16S ribosomal RNA". It matches the Rfam family "Bacterial small subunit ribosomal RNA", at positions 338 to 795 of the family's 1533-position model. Lineage: Bacteria; Pseudomonadati; Pseudomonadota; Gammaproteobacteria; Oceanospirillales; Halomonadaceae. The record is from RNAcentral.